UACGAAGGGGGCUAGCGUUGCUCGGAAUCACUGGGCGUAAAGGGUGCGUAGGCGGGUCUUUAAGUCAGGGGUGAAAUCCUGGAGCUCAACUCCAGAACUGCCUUUGAUACUGCAGAUCUUGAGUUCGGGAGAGGUGAGUGGAACUGCGAGUGUAGAGGUGAAAUUCGUAGAUAUUCGCAAGAACACCAGUGGCGAAGGCGGCUCACUGGCCCGAUACUGACGCUGAUGCACGAAAGCGUGGGGAGCAAACAGG
RNAcentral lists this ribosomal RNA (253 nucleotides) under uncultured bacterium. Its description in RNAcentral is "partial 16S ribosomal RNA". It matches the Rfam family "Bacterial small subunit ribosomal RNA", at positions 524 to 776 of the family's 1533-position model. The record is from RNAcentral.